RNAcentral lists this transfer RNA (78 nucleotides) under Planctomycetota bacterium. Its description in RNAcentral is "tRNA-Pro". It matches the Rfam family "tRNA". Rfam says of the family: Transfer RNA (tRNA) molecules are approximately 80 nucleotides in length. Lineage: Bacteria; Pseudomonadati; Planctomycetota. The record is from RNAcentral.
CGGACCGUAGCUCAGCUUGGCUAGAGCGUCUGCCUUGGGCGCAGAAGGUCGCAGGUUCAAAUCCUGUCGGUCCGACCA